UAUAAAUCAUGUUUGGCAGCCUCUUAUUUUCUAAGAAAUGAAAAAUUGGUGCUGAGUAAAAUAUACAUUGAAUGAAGCAGAUUUUUUAAAAAUGCUCUCCAACAAACUAUAUGCCAGCAACAGCCAGAGCUGGGCCAUGCUGAAACUUGGAGCCAGGAACUGAAUUCACGUUACCUACAUGAAUAGCAGGGACCCGACUACUUGAGCCCUCACCAGAAGCCUUGCAGGAAGAAGGAAGCUGGAAUCAUGGGAAGAGCUGGGACUCAUUCCGAGAUCCCUCAUAUUGUUGAACUGAUGAUCUUAAUUAUUGCUAAUAUUUAAUUCAUGAGUACCAAAAAUAGAGAGGAGUAUUGGACCCUGUCACCAGCCUACAGAAGUGACCUCAUUGGGAAAUUAAUUAAAUCAUUCCAGAAUUAAAGGCCCCAGGUAAAAGCAUAAGAUGCAUGCAACUGAAUUUGAAAACAGUGUCAACCUACUGAUUAUGUUGAACUACUCAUAUUGUUAGAUUAGCAAUAAAAAUAAGAGCUUAUUAUUUAAAAUAUAUUCUAGAUGCAAGAUGUUCUAAUUAUAAUGAAGCAUUCAUUAUUCAUAAUGAGGAAGUGAAGAAAAUAUCUGGGACUUGAGAAAUUCACUAGGGCAUUGUUGGAUUAUUUGCUCAAUUAAAAGACAAUUACAAAAACUGUGUUUUGAGAAGAUUCAGACUCCAUGUUAACGUGUUACUUCACUGGACAAAAAAAUAUGGACAAAUGUAAGUUGCGAGUGAAGGAUAUUUUAAAAAAAUGUUAUAAAAAAGAAAAUGAUGAAUGAAUAAAUAAAAUAGCUUGCACCUUUGAUUUGAAGAAUUUUAAGAAUCUUUGAAUUUUAAAAAUUUUAAUUCUAAGUCUUAAAAACCAUGGAUAUCCUCUGCCUAGAAACAUCAUUAAGAGAGCAGAUUCAGUGCAAAAUAUCAACAGAUGUGGAUUUCUGACUGCAUUCAGCUCUGUUGAUACCAUGCCCAGCAUCCUUUUAAACAAUAAACUCUUGAGGAUGUUUUACAGUGUAAUGUCAUUUCACCACCUGCUUAUCCUACAACUUUGCUCAACCACAUUUGGGUGCAAAAUGGAAAGAUAGACGUCAAUAUGUUAGGUACUAAUAUUCCCUUGGGUGAUUCUCAGUCAAUGUACAAUACAGCUGGCUAGAAACAGAAAAAUGUCCCUUCCUUCUUGUUGUCUUGUAACAAAAUUUUGAAAAAAAAAAAAAAUAACAUGUGAUUUUGUAGUAGAUCUCCAAAAGGAUCGAGUGCCUGUAGUCCAGAGCAAUAAUAUAUGUCCAUGAACACACUUCUGGAUGUUUUUUCUUCUUUCCAUGUCUUAUUUCCUCUACUUCAUCAAAUAUUAUUACUGAGCUUAUGUCCCAACUAAACCACCUGCCCCAAGACUUGGACUCAGAGUCUAGACAUAAGUAUGUGUACACACAAACAUAUUCACACAUGUAUAUAUGGAUUUUAUAUAUAGAGAGAUAGAUAGAUAUAGAUAUAUAACAUAUAUAUAUCCACAUAUAUAUGUACUCAUAUGCUUGUGUAGGGCACCUUAUUUGGAAUAUGACCUCUGGAAGGACAUCAUAUAAUCACACACUUACAUAUAAACCUGAAUAGAUAAAAGACAAUUACUAAUGAUAGUAAUUUAUGCAAUGCUCUUCCUGUGUAUAUGGAAGUCCACUUAGUCCACUUGUACCCAUAGUACUAUCGAACAAUUAAGUUAGAAAAAUAUUGUGUAAAUGAAAUUAUUGAACAAAAUGAGCUAACUGGACUUUUUCUAUGGGAUGUGUACAUACAACUGCAGAUUUCUUUAUAGUUUCAAAUCUAGAAAUACAAGAUACAAGUAAGCCAAAGGCACACUGAUUCUCAUGAACCUUUUAACCUUGCCAGAUGACUUAUCAAGGGGGAAAUACACACUUAGACAAUAGAAAGGAGAUACUUUGCAUUCCUGUGUAGUUUAG
Molecule: non-coding RNA, 1977 nt
Organism: Oryctolagus cuniculus (rabbit)
Lineage: Eukaryota; Metazoa; Chordata; Mammalia; Lagomorpha; Leporidae
Source: RefSeq, a predicted model, not a curated record